This 2860-nucleotide ribosomal RNA is filed under the name activated sludge metagenome. Its description in RNAcentral is "bacterial LSU rRNA". It matches the Rfam family "Bacterial large subunit ribosomal RNA". The record is from RNAcentral.
AGGGCAUACGGUGGAUGCCUUGGCACUGGAAGGCGAUGAAGGUCGUGGCAAGCUGCGAUAAGCUUCGGUGAGGAGCAAGCAUCCGCAUAACCGGAGAUGACCGAAUCGGAAAACCGAAUACAGGAGAACCUGUAUUAUCUAUCACUGAAUAAAUAGGUGAUAGAGGCAAGACCAGGGGAAUUGAAACAUCUAAGUACCCUGAGGAAAAGAAAUCAAACGAGAUUCCCUCAGUAGUGGCGAGCGAAAGGGGAAGAGCCCAAACCGGAUUAUACGUUACAGGCUGGAGCCGCUGUAAAUCCGGGGUUGUAGGAUACAGACAGAGAGCACUCCAGGGCUCUCGGGAAGUUACAAAACCUCAUGUUAGCAGAACCCGCUGGAAAGAGGGCCAAAGAGGGUGAUAGCCCCGUAAGCGAAAACAUAGAGGACUUCCUGGUCUGUAGACCUGAGUAGGGCGGGGCACGUGGAACCCUGUUCGAAUCUGGGAGGACCAUCUUCCAAGGCUAAAUACUAACCAGUGACCGAUAGUGAACAAGUACCGUGAGGGAAAGGUGAAAAGAACCCAGAGAUGGGAGUGAAAUAGAACCUGAAACCGUAUGCUUACAAGGUGUGGGAGGGCGAAAGCCUGACCGCGUGCCUUUUGUAGAAUGAGCCGGCGAGUUACUUUAUACAGCGAGGUUAAGCAAUAGUAAUUGCGAAGCCGAAGCGAAAGCGAGUCUUAAAUGGGCGUAUAGUUGUAUGGAGUAGACCCGAAACCGAGUGAUCUAGUUAUGGCCAGGUUGAAGUGGCGGUAAAACGUCAUGGAGGACCGAACCGGUGAAUGUUGAAAAAUUCUCGGAUGAGCUGUGACUAGGGGUGAAAGGCCAAACAAACUCGGCAAUAGCUGGUUCUCCUCGAAAUAGCUUUAGGGCUAGCCUCAUGCGUUUAGUUACGGGGGUAGAGCUCUGAUUGGGCUAGGGGGUCAACAAACUUACCAAACCCAGUUAAACUGCGAAUACCGUAACUUUAGAGCAUGGGAGUCAGACUACGAGAGAUAAGUUCCGUGGUCAAAAGGGAAAGAGCCCAGACCAACAGCUAAGGUCCCCAAGUGUAUGCUAAGUGAUAAAGGAGGUGGCGCCGCACAAACAUCCAGGAGGUUGGCUUAGAAGCAGCAACCCUUUAAAGAGUGCGUAAUAGCUCACUGGCCGAGUGGCGCUGCGCCAAAAAUGAUUGGGACUAAGUAUACCACCGAAGCUUUGGACUUACGUAAGUAAGUGGUAGAGGAGCAUUCUGUACCGGGCUGAAGGUAGUUCGUGAGGGCUGCUGGACUGUACAGAAGAGAGAAUGCCGGCAUGAGUAACGACAAACACGGUGAAAACCCGUGUCGCCGAAAGCCUAAGGUUUUCUGGGCAAUGUUAAUCAACUCAGAGUUAGUCGGCCCCUAAGGCGAGGCCGAGAGGCGUAGUCGAUGGGAAGCAGGUUCAUAUUCCUGCACCACCUGGUGGAGGCUAUCGUGAUGGAGUGACGCAGGAGGAUAUAUACGCAGGGCGUUGGUUGUCCCUGUUCCUGAUUGUAGGUCUGGGUUAUAGGAAAAUCCGUAACCCUUAUGACAGAGGAUUGGGGGGAGUAAGAUUAUCUUGCGAAGGUGUAGAUUCCAUACUGCCAGGAAAAACUUCUAAACGCGAAACUGGGUGACCGUACUAAAACCGACACAGGUAGGCGGGGAGAGUAUCCCAAGGCGCUCGAGAGAACCUCCGUUAAGGAACUCGGCAAAAUGGUCCCGUAACUUAGGGAAAAGGGACGCCUCAUUAGUGUGAAGCCACUUGCUGGUGGAGCAUGAAGAGGCCGCAGAUAAAUGGCCCAAGCGACUGUUUACCAAAAACACAGGACUCUGCAAACUCGUAAGAGGAAGUAUAGGGUCUGACACCUGCCCGGUGCCGGAAGGUUAAAAGGAGAGGUUAGCCGCAAGGCGAAGCUUUGAAUUGAAGCCCCGGUAAACGGCGGCCGUAACUAUGACGGUCCUAAGGUAGCGAAAUUCCUUGUCGGGUAAGUUCCGACCUGCACGAAUGGUGUAACGACUUGGGCACUGUCUCAACGGGGGACUCGGUGAAAUUGUAAUGUUAGUGAAGAUGCUGACUACCUGCAGAAGGACGGAAAGACCCCGUGCACCUUUACUGUAGCCUGACACUGUAGUUUGGUACAAUAUGUGUAGGAUAGGUGGGAGACUGUGAAACCGGGACGCCAGUUUCGGUGGAGUCGUCCUUGAAAUACCACCCUUGUUGUAUCGGACUACUAACCGGUACCCGUGAUCCGGGACUGGAACACUGUCUGGUGGGCAGUUUGACUGGGGCGGUCGCCUCCUAAAGAGUAACGGAGGCGCCCAAAGGUUCCCUCAGCACGGACGGAAAUCGUGCGUAGAGUGUAAACGCAAAAGGGAGCUUAACUGCAAGACCUACAAGUCGAGCAGGUACGAAAGUAGGGGUUAGUGAUCCGGUGGUCCCGUAUGGAAGGGCCAUCGCUCAACGGAUAAAAGGUACGCCGGGGAUAACAGGCUGAUAGUGCCCAAGAGUUCAUAUCGACGGCACUGUUUGGCACCUCGAUGUCGGCUCUUCGCAUCCUGGGGCUGGAGAAGGUCCCAAGGGUUCGGCUGUUCGCCGAUUAAAGCGGAACGCGAGCUGGGUUCAGAACGUCGUGAGACAGUUCGGUCUCUAUCCUCUGCAGGCGCUGGAAAUUUGAGGAGAUCUGUCCUUAGUACGAGAGGACCGGGAUGGACGAACCUCUGGUGUACCGGUUGUCAUGCCAGUGGCACAGCCGGGUGGCUAUGUUCGGAACGGAUAACCGCUGAAAGCAUCUAAGCGGGAAGCCGACUCCAAGAUUAGAUUUC